Molecule: non-coding RNA, 81 nt
Organism: Ameiurus melas (black bullhead)
Lineage: Eukaryota; Metazoa; Chordata; Actinopteri; Siluriformes; Ictaluridae
Source: the annotation of a GenBank genome assembly
GUAGUUGUGGCCGAGUGGGUUAAGGCGGGACUAGAAAUCCAUUGGGGUCUCCCCGCGCAGGUUCGACUCCUGCCAACUACG